UACGAAGGGGGCUAGCGUUGUUCGGAAUUACUGGGCGUAAAGGGCGCGUAGGCGGUGUGUCAAGUCAGGCGUGAAAGCCCCGGGCUCAACCUGGGAACAGCGCUUGAGACUGGCACGCUCGAGUUCGGGAGAGGAUGGUGGAAUUCCCAGUGUAGAGGUGAAAUUCGUAGAUAUUGGGAAGAACACCGAUGGCGAAGGCAGCCAUCUGGACCGACACUGACGCUGAGGCGCGAAAGUGUGGGGAGCAAACAGG
RNAcentral lists this ribosomal RNA (253 nucleotides) under uncultured bacterium. Its description in RNAcentral is "partial 16S ribosomal RNA". It matches the Rfam family "Bacterial small subunit ribosomal RNA", at positions 524 to 776 of the family's 1533-position model. The record is from RNAcentral.